GUUAGUUUAGACAUCAUGACCAACAUUGCAGUUUCUCUUACUGAUACGAAUCUGUACUCCAAAAUACUGGAAAUGUCCACAUCAGUGGAUGGAAGCAGAGGUUGAAGAGAAAGCUGAAAGUUGUGAGAUUCAGACAGGAGAAGGAUGCUGUGGACUUGGCAUAAGGAAAGCCAUUGAAGGUUACUCUUUCCUCUUUGUCCACCAUUAACAGAACAUGGUACCCAGAGACUAGUACAUGAAUAGGGUCUGACUGGAGGUAAACAGAUGGAAAGAAAGUUCCACAAGGAUGCAUACAGAAGAAGCCAGCCUCACCCCACAUAGCCUCUAUCAAGAAUGUGACCACUUGCUUCAACAGAUACUCCCACCUGGAGGUACUGCCAUCUGCUGCCCACCCAGAAGGCAAGCCAACAGGGCUGGCAACCUACAAAACUGUUAGGUAAAUAAACCUGGUCUGACGUCUGCCUCAGA
Long non-coding RNA from Mastomys coucha (southern multimammate mouse), 468 nucleotides. RefSeq lists it as uncharacterized. Lineage: Eukaryota; Metazoa; Chordata; Mammalia; Rodentia; Muridae. The record is from RefSeq and is a predicted model, not a curated record. The transcript has 2 exons.